This is a non-coding RNA of Rhypophila decipiens, 130 nucleotides long. Lineage: Eukaryota; Fungi; Ascomycota; Sordariomycetes; Sordariales; Naviculisporaceae. The record is from the annotation of a GenBank genome assembly.
GGCUGGGUGGCCGAGCGGUCUAAGGCGGUAGAGUCAAGAAGAAAACUUCCUCUUCUUCCUAGUAUCUAUAUCAAGUACAAGGUGAUUUCUACUCUCGAAAGAGGCGCGCGUUCGAAUCGCGCCCCAGUCA